AUUGAACGCUGGCGGCAGGCUUAACACAUGCAAGUCGAACGGUAGCAGGAGAAAGCUUGCUUUCUUGCUGACGAGUGGCGGACGGGUGAGUAAUGCUUGGGAAUCUGGCUUAUGGAGGGGGAUAACUACGGGAAACUGUAGCUAAUACCGCGUAAUAUCUUCGGAUUAAAGAAUGGGACUUUUAGCCAUUCGCCAUAAGAUGAGCCCAAGUGGGAUUAGGUAGUUGGUGGGGUAAAGGCCUACCAAGCCGACGAUCUCUAGCUGGUCUGAGAGGAUGACCAGCCACACUGGAACUGAGACACGGUCCAGACUCCUACGGGAGGCAGCAGUGGGGAAUAUUGCGCAAUGGGGGCAAGCCUGACGCAGCCAUGCCGCGUGAAUGAAGAAGGCCUUCGGGUUGUAAAGUUCUGUCGGUGGUGAGGAAGGCUAAUAUGUUAAUAGCAUAUUAGAUUGACGUUAGCCACAGAAGAAGCACCGGCUAACUCCGUG
Molecule: ribosomal RNA, 489 nt
Filed under: uncultured bacterium
Lineage: Bacteria
Description: partial 16S ribosomal RNA
Rfam family: Bacterial small subunit ribosomal RNA
Source: RNAcentral